RNAcentral lists this ribosomal RNA (449 nucleotides) under uncultured bacterium. RNAcentral's name for it is "bacterial SSU rRNA". It matches the Rfam family "Bacterial small subunit ribosomal RNA", at positions 28 to 477 of the family's 1533-position model. The record is from RNAcentral.
GAUGAACGCUGGCGGCGUGCUUAACACAUGCAAGUCGAGCGAAGCACCUUGACGGAUUUCUUCGGAUUGAAGCCUUGGUGACUGAGCGGCGGACGGGUGAGUAACGCGUGGGUAACCUGCCUCAUACAGGGGGAUAACAGUUGGAAACGGCUGCUAAUACCGCAUAAGCGCACAGUACCGCAUGGUACGGUGUGAAAAGCUCCGGUGGUAUGAGAUGGACCCGCGUCUGAUUAGGUAGUUGGUGGGGUAACGGCCUACCAAGCCGACGAUCAGUAGCCGACCUGAGAGGGUGACCGGCCACAUUGGGACUGAGACACGGCCCAAACUCCUACGGGAGGCAGCAGUGGGGAAUAUUGCACAAUGGGGGAAACCCUGAUGCAGCGACGCCGCGUGAGCGAUGAAGUAUUUCGGUAUGUAAAGCUCUAUCAGCAGGGAAGAAAAUGACGGUA